AUGACGGUUACACUCGAGGAUUGGGGGAUGAUUACGGGCCUACCGCUCGAGGGUAAUGCUCUGACAGGACGAGUGGAGAGGAAGAACUGGCACGACAGGGUUGUCGCCCUCAUUGGCGACUGCCCCCCAGAUAAGAAGAACCGGACUUCCGGCGCCCCGCUGCCCUGGCUCCUGAAGUACCGGAGCAAGUGCCCGGAAGGGGCUGAACCUCGGGUGGUGGAGCAGUACGCCAGGGCCUACCUAUGGUAUCUUCUCACGGAGGUAGUGUUUCCUGACUGCUCUGGGGACAUUGCCCUCUGGAUGUAUCUCGACUUCCUGGCGGACUGGGAUGCGGGGUACAGCUGGGGGGCCGCCAGCCUCGCCUACCUAUACCGUUCGCUUGACGAUGCAACCCGGAGGACGGAAGCUACGUCCGGUAUGUGUGGAUGUGUGUGGGGCCUCUCCAUUUGGAUGUGGGAGCGAAUCCCGGUGGGUCGUCCGGAGAAGCUUAGAGCGCGUGCAUGGACUUACUAUGGCGAAGAUGGCGACGAUGCUCGAUACCCGACCGCCGCAUACGCUUGGGACGUGGUGGGUACAAUCUCGGGUGAAUCCAAGGCCUUGUACAAGAUCUUCAUCAACGAGCUUGAUGCUCUGACGCCUCUCCAGGUAUAA
This 651-nucleotide ribosomal RNA is filed under the name Triticum aestivum (bread wheat). Its description in RNAcentral is "partial small subunit ribosomal RNA". The record is from RNAcentral. Lineage: Eukaryota; Viridiplantae; Streptophyta; Magnoliopsida; Poales; Poaceae.